This 518-nucleotide ribosomal RNA is filed under the name Salmonella enterica. RNAcentral describes it as "partial 23S ribosomal RNA". It matches the Rfam family "Bacterial large subunit ribosomal RNA", at positions 711 to 1221 of the family's 2925-position model. RNAcentral also lists the same sequence under 2 other names. The record is from RNAcentral. Lineage: Bacteria; Pseudomonadati; Pseudomonadota; Gammaproteobacteria; Enterobacterales; Enterobacteriaceae.
AGACCCGAAACCCGGUGAUCUAGCCAUGGGCAGGUUGAAGGUUGGGUAACACUAACUGGAGGACCGAACCGACUAAUGUUGAAAAAUUAGCGGAUGACCUGUGGCUGGGGGUGAAAGGCCAAUCAAACCGGGAGAUAGCUGGUUCUCCCCGAAAGCUAUUUAGGUAGCGCCUCGUGAAUUCAUCUCCGGGGGUAGAGCACUGUUUCGGCUAGGGGGCCAUCCCGGCUUACCAACCCGAUGCAAACUGCGAAUACCGGAGAAUGUUAUCACGGGAGACACACGGCGGGUGCUAACGUCCGUCGUGAAGAGGGAAACAACCCAGACCGCCAGCUAAGGUCCCAAAGUCAUGGUUAAGUGGGAAACGAUGUGGGAAGGCCCAGACAGCCAGGAUGUUGGCUUAGAAGCAGCCAUCAUUUAAAGAAAGCGUAAUAGCUCACUGGUCGAGUCGGCCUGCGCGGAAGAUGUAACGGGGCUAAACCAUGCACCGAAGCUGCGGCAGCGAACGUAUCACCCAAGAC